This 240-nucleotide ribosomal RNA is filed under the name Triticum aestivum (bread wheat). RNAcentral's name for it is "partial small subunit ribosomal RNA". Lineage: Eukaryota; Viridiplantae; Streptophyta; Magnoliopsida; Poales; Poaceae. The record is from RNAcentral.
AUGGGCCCUUGCGGCGGCCCCCGUGGCGACGUGUGGAAGAUGGACGUGCGCGGCGGCGACCGCAUCGUCAAGGUGAUCCUGUGGCAUGCAGGCGCAGUCGACGCUAUCUCAGUUUCGUACCAGCGGGACGGCCGGAUUGAGCAGACCGAGCACUGGGGGAAACCUGACGGUAGACAGCGCUCAGAGAUAUGUCUGGAGCCGGAUGAAUACCUCACCGGUAUGAAAGGGCAUGUGGGGUGA